AAAAAUCGAGUAACUAUUAAUGUCUGAUUUUGUUGGGCCCUGUGUAAUUAAGAGUGAAAUCUACAUAGGCAAUGAUGGCACGCGCUGUUAAUGAUGAUAUAUGACCACGCGACAGUAGCCUCGUACGGUGAUGGGUCCCAUUUAUGAUUUAUUUGAGACCGACUGUAAUGACCCUGGUCCACCUGCCUUUUGAACGCAUGCGAAUCACGCGCGCAUUUCGUUUUGUUUACUCACGUUUUUGCUAACAACAUUAGCACAGAUCGCCAUACACGUGUGAAUGAGGUGUUUGCGCAAAAUGGCACACCAUCGUGUGAUUGUUCACCAUUUGUUCACAAAUUUGUAAUACUUAAACACGAUCUCUUCAAAUGAAUCCAAUCGGCGUUUAAGAUCCCCCCAAUUUGCUCAUAUAUAGACAACCCUAAGUGUGAGGGCAUUAUUAAAUUUUGGAAAUUCAAAAAGAUAGCUCCUUGUCAUUUGUCAAAAUUAGCCCCAAAAAUUUAAAAAAAAAAACUAAUAUCAUUAUCAAAUUUGCAGUACCAAUUAUCAUGUGGUCAAAUGAGAAGUGAUUGAAAGUAACUUAAUUCCGAUGGCCAAACGAAGAUACCAAUUAAAUAGUGCUUCUAAAGGACAAAAAUUCUCCAAAUUCAUUGUCACUAAAAGCAUUAUGAACUCUUAGUAUUCCUUUUUAAAGUAGGUUAACGGGUCAAAAAAAAAACUUAGAAUUUGACUAGGAAAUUAAAGUCCAAAAAGAGAUUGUCCAAUGAUUCAUAUAUUGAUACAUGAUAGUAGUGACAAAUUACAAGCGUAUUUUUGUCUACUUACCUUAUAAUACAGGAAGUUGGACCACUUGGGCUAGUUUGCAUUGGCUAACCUAGAUUUGGAGAUUGUGCAUGCAACAUUUUUCAGUUAUAGCUUUUAGUUCUAAGUGGAACCUUUUAGGAUUUUAUCACAUUGGUUGCUUUUGGGAUUCGGCCAUCAUUUACAGCUUGUAUUUGAGAGUUGAGAAGUCGUUUUCAAAUAGGUUUUGGGUUUUUAGUUUUUACAUAAUAUUAUAUAAAGCUAUGUUUGUAGUGCAAAUUAGAUUAUGAGCUUGAUUUAUAUACGUUCAUUAAUUUUUUGUGCUAAAAUAAGAUGAGCAUUCCCACAAUUGAGUAUUACUAGACUUUAAUCUAUCAUUGACAAGUUUAAAUUGACUUAGAACGUGAACAUAAAUCAUGUGAAGGUAUAUUCGCAUUUUUUUUUCUUUUUAUUUAUUUAUUUAUUUUUGUUCAUAGAUCACACAAGAAUAUGUGAAGGUGGUAGUAUUUUUUUUUUUUUUAUGAGACUAUUGCUCAUGAUAGUUAUAAUUAUACAAAUACUGAGACCGGUCUAUAUCAAAUCUUAUAUAGCAAAAAGCUAUAUAAAAUUAGAUUAUGAGCUUGAUAUAUAUACGUUCAUUAAUUUUGUGCUAAAAUAAGAUGAGCAUUCCCAUAAUUGAGUAUUACUAAACUUUAACCAAUCAUUGACAACUAUAAAUUGACUUAGAACAUGAACAUAAAUCAUGUGAAGGUGUAUUCACAUUUAUUUUCUUUUUAUUUUUUCGUGGUUUCAUUAUAGUUCACAUAAGAAUAUAUGAAGGUGGUAGCGCUUUUUUUUAAUGAGACUAUUGUUCAUGAUAUUUACAAUCAUAUAAUUACUGAGACUAAUUUAUAUCAAAUAUUAUAUAACACCGUCCAGAUAUUAACACUCUUAAAUAUUUUAGGAACGUCAACUCCACUCUUGGAAGAAAAACUAUCUUCAUUCAAAUUUAAAAAAAUAAAUUAAAUUAAACCUCUACAAUACAUCUAAGGAGACUCUAACCAUUUCCCUCGCACUGGUGAGGGAGUAGCUUUAUAACCAUUGGGCCAAGCCCAAGUGGUUGAAGGUGGUAGUACUUGGUCUUAAAAAAUGGGCCUUUUUUUUUUCUUUUCCUUUUGAAAACAAAGUGAAAAGUAACUAUGACAAUAUGUCACGUAACCUAACUGUAUUACUCAACUAUGAAAUGAUAAACAAGAAGAUCCAAUAGUGGUGAUUGUUAGUGCAUUUUGGCUUUCAUUUUGCAGGUUGUUUUGAAUUCCUCUUAGUACCUCUAUCAUUAUUUAUAUAUGACAAGUACAUUUAUCUACCUAAAUGCUUAGCAAAUUGCUAGUUGCCCUAUAUUUGAGUAGUAAGAGUCUUUCAAGAACUCUUUGUAUUCCUCUCUUAAUUAGAAAUUGAAUAAAAUUAGGUAUUUUUCCUUUUGAUUUGUUGUGAAUGGAGUCAUGGAGUAAAUAUUCCUUCAAUACUUAUGAGGGUAGAAUAGAAAUAUAGACAAUAUGGUAGACUUUUGGUUAUGUAAUACGUAUCAAUAAUUAAAAAAAAAUAAAAGUUUAGCAAAUUAAAUUAAAUUUAAGAAUUUUUAAAAUUGAUAAAUCACAUAUUAAUAUAUAAACAUUUUACCAUCCGACUGAGUUAUCCAUUGAAGAUUACAUAAACGUAAUUUCUUAAUCGACAAGCAAGUCUUUUGAUUUUGCUUUUAUGGAUCAUGGUUGAUUGCGAACAUUCUUUCUGUUCGGUAAUGGGGAAUGUCCUUUGAACAUUUUUAGCUCAAAUAAUUCGAAUCAUAUUUUACCACACAGUAAUGAUCCCAAAAUGCGACAAGUUGUGAAUAUCUUUUUUUUUUUUUUUAAAUUAUUUUAUUUCCUUGACUGUGAAAGUGAAGAUUCCCUCAGCAGGCAGGCCUUUCGAAUUGUUUGUUUGUGGAUGCUGCAAUCAUUCCAGCAUUUUACGAUUUUAUGUGUGUUUUCAAUUUAAUUUUUCUAUUUUAGAUGUGGAAUCUGUUGCCGAUUAGUUGUUUUCACGACCUCUUUUUUAUUUGCCAGAGACAAUUGUCUCUUACCAUUGGACACUUGAGCUUUGCUUUGUUGCCCCACUCUCUCUUGAUAUCGUCUUUUUAUUACUUGUCAAUUGUAAUCAAAAUAAAAGGAGUUCUUUUUGGUAAAUUUGACCAAA
This 3009-nucleotide long non-coding RNA is filed under the name Citrus x clementina. RNAcentral's name for it is "Citrus clementina (C. clementina) long non-coding RNA (CCLE_LNC002076)". The record is from RNAcentral. Lineage: Eukaryota; Viridiplantae; Streptophyta; Magnoliopsida; Sapindales; Rutaceae.